This 946-nucleotide ribosomal RNA is filed under the name Polaribacter sejongensis. RNAcentral's name for it is "bacterial SSU rRNA". It matches the Rfam family "Bacterial small subunit ribosomal RNA", at positions 90 to 1042 of the family's 1533-position model. The record is from RNAcentral. Lineage: Bacteria; Pseudomonadati; Bacteroidota; Flavobacteriia; Flavobacteriales; Flavobacteriaceae.
GACGACCGGCGCACGGGUGCGUAACGCGUAUAGAACCUACCUUUUACUGGAGAAUAGCCUUUAGAAAUGAAGAUUAAUGCUCCAUGGUAUUAAGUUUUGGCAUCAGAACUUAAUUAAAGAUUUAUUGGUAAAAGAUGGCUAUGCGUCCUAUUAGUUAGAUGGUAAGGUAACGGCUUACCAUGACUUUGAUAGGUAGGGGUCCUGAGAGGGAGAUCCCCCACACUGGUACUGAGACACGGACCAGACUCCUACGGGAGGCAGCAGUGAGGAAUAUUGGGCAAUGGAGGCAACUCUGACCCAGCCAUGCCGCGUGAAGGAUGACUGCCCUAUGGGUUGUAAACUUCUUUUAUACAGGAAGAAACACUGGUAUGUAUACCAGCUUGACGGUACUGUAAGAAUAAGGACCGGCUAACUCCGUGCCAGCAGCCGCGGUAAUACGGAGGGUCCGAGCGUUAUCCGGAAUCAUUGGGUUUAAAGGGUCCGCAGGCGGUCAAUUAAGUCAGAGGUGAAAUCCCAUAGCUCAACUAUGGAACUGCCUUUGAUACUGGUUGACUUGAGUCAUAUGGAAGUAGAUAGAAUGUGUAGUGUAGCGGUGAAAUGCAUAGAUAUUACACAGAAUACCGAUUGCGAAGGCAGUCUACUACGUAUGUACUGACGCUGAGGGACGAAAGCGUGGGGAGCGAACAGGAUUAGAUACCCUGGUAGUCCACGCCGUAAACGAUGGAUACUAGUUGUUGGGCAUUAGCUCAGUGACUAAGCGAAAGUGAUAAGUAUCCCACCUGGGGAGUACGGUCGCAAGACUGAAACUCAAAGGAAUUGACGGGGGCCCGCACAAGCGGUGGAGCAUGUGGUUUAAUUCGAUGAUACGCGAGGAACCUUACCAGGGCUUAAAUGUAGUCUGACAGCUUUAGAGAUAGAGUUUUCUUCGGACAGAUUACAAGGUGCU